RNAcentral lists this transfer RNA (88 nucleotides) under Stenotrophobium rhamnosiphilum. RNAcentral describes it as "Sinobacteraceae bacterium GT1R17 tRNA-Ser". It matches the Rfam family "tRNA". Rfam says of the family: Transfer RNA (tRNA) molecules are approximately 80 nucleotides in length. Their secondary structure includes four short double-helical elements and three loops (D, anti-codon, and T loops). Further hydrogen bonds mediate the characteristic L-shaped molecular structure. tRNAs have two regions of fundamental functional importance: the anti-codon, which is responsible for specific mRNA codon recognition, and the 3' end, to which the tRNAs corresponding amino acid is attached (by aminoacyl-tRNA synthetases). tRNAs cope with the degeneracy of the genetic code in two manners: having more than one tRNA (with a specific anti-codon) for a particular amino acid; and 'wobble' base-pairing, i.e. permitting non-standard base-pairing at the 3rd anti-codon position. The record is from RNAcentral. Lineage: Bacteria; Pseudomonadati; Pseudomonadota; Gammaproteobacteria; Nevskiales; Nevskiaceae.
GGAGAGGUGGCAGAGUGGUCUAUUGCGGCGGUCUUGAAAACCGCUGUGUCGUAAGGCACCGGGGGUUCGAAUCCCUCCUUCUCCGCCA